AUCGCUUCUCGGCCUUUUGGCUAAGAUCAAGUGUAGUAUUUAGGGAUCAUAUUAUCCAAAAAUCAACAGGACAGAGUUCUCUAAAUUUCAAUCCAGUGAUUGAAAAAGCUGAAACCAUGUUCAAUUUGUGGCUUCAAAGAUCUUUCAGCUGAAGGGUCAUGCACUGCUGUCCAAAGCUGAAGGAAUA
Small nuclear RNA from Lampris incognitus (smalleye Pacific opah), 187 nucleotides. RefSeq annotates it as U2 spliceosomal RNA. NCBI's taxonomy places the organism in Eukaryota, Metazoa, Chordata, Actinopteri, Lampriformes, Lampridae. The transcript has a single exon. The record is from RefSeq and is a predicted model, not a curated record.